AAGUUCUCAACCACAUCGGAUUUGUUUUCGGUGUGGCUUGGAUAUGGGGGUAUUUGUUGCAGGCUUUUGAAAAAUGAAGUCAGCUCCCCUGAAAUGCAUUAGUAGUAUCUGAGCAGAAAAAACUACUAUGGGUGUGAUAAUUUAUCUAUGCCCUUGGUAUGGCUGCAUGAACAGAUUGCGCUGCUUCUAACGAGUGUGUAUAAUAACCACAUUUGACAA
RNAcentral lists this unclassified non-coding RNA (219 nucleotides) under uncultured Inocybe. Its description in RNAcentral is "sequence contains ITS2". Lineage: Eukaryota; Fungi; Basidiomycota; Agaricomycetes; Agaricales; Cortinariaceae. The record is from RNAcentral.